CAAAAACAUCGCCUCUUGAACCUACAUAAGAGGUCCCGCCUGCCCAGUGACCAAGUUCAACGGCCGCGGUAUCCUAACCGUGCGAAGGUAGCGUAAUCACUUGUUCUUUAAAUGAGGACUAGUAUGAAUGGCACCACGAGGGCUAUACUGUCUCCUUUUUCUAAUCAAUGAAACUGAUCCCCCCGUGAAGAAGCGGGGAUAAAUAUAUAAGACGAGAAGACCCUAUGGAGCUUUAAACAAAAUAGCACUGGCCCCUCUUCCUACCUUCCAGAAACAUUACACCUAUACUGGCCAAAAUGACUAUUAGUUUUAGGUUGGGGUGACCACGGAGCAAAAAUUAACCUCCACAUUGAAUGGAAAUUCUCCUGAGCCGAAAGCUACGACUUUAAGCACCAAUAAACUGACAUUAAUUGACCCAAUAUUUUGAUCAACGAACCAAGUUACCCUAGGGAUAACAGCGCAAUCCAUUUCAAGAGCUCCUAUCGACAAAUGGGUUUACGACCU
Molecule: ribosomal RNA, 504 nt
Filed under: Dendropsophus leali group sp. ABGD cluster 35
Lineage: Eukaryota; Metazoa; Chordata; Amphibia; Anura; Hylidae
Description: partial large subunit ribosomal RNA
Rfam family: Bacterial large subunit ribosomal RNA
Source: RNAcentral